This 378-nucleotide unclassified non-coding RNA is filed under the name soil metagenome. Its description in RNAcentral is "partial contains 5.8S ribosomal RNA, internal transcribed spacer 2, and large subunit ribosomal RNA". The stretch from base 1 to 120 matches the Rfam family "5.8S ribosomal RNA", at positions 35 to 154 of the family's 154-position model. The record is from RNAcentral.
GAUGAAGAACGUAGCGAAAUGCGAUAAGUAAUGUGAAUUGCAGAAUUCAGUGAAUCAUCGAAUCUUUGAACGCACCUUGCACCCUUUGGCAUUCCGAAGGGUAUGCUCGUUUGAGUGUCAUUGUACUCUCACACUUCCAAUCUUUGGAUUGGGAGCAGUGGACUUGGGUGUUGCUGCUUACUGUGGCUCACCUCAAAUCGAUUCGUGCACCUCUUGGUUGGACAUAGUACGGCGUGAUAAGUGUCUUCGCCGGCACCUCAGUAGAGGGUGGCUGAUCAGGAGCUCUGUGCUUCAAACCGUCCUCGGACAACAACUGACAACUUGACCUCAAAUCGAGUAGGACUACCCGCUGAACUUAAGCAUAUCAAUAGCGGAGGA